AACGAACGCUGGCGGCAUGCCUAACACAUGCAAGUCGAACGAGACCUUCGGGUAUAGUGGCGCACGGGUGCGUAACGCGUGGGACCCUGCCCUUAGGUUCGGAAUAACUCCCCGUAAGGGGUGCUAAUACCGGAUAAUGUCUUCGGACCAAAGAUUUAUCGCCUUUGGAUGGGCCCGCGUAGGAUUAGCUCGUUGGUAGGGUAAAAGCCUACCAAGGCGACGAUCCAUAGCUGGUUUGGGAGGAUGAUCAGCAACACUAGGGCUGAGACACGGCCCAGACUCCUACGGGAGGCAGCAGUGGGGAAGAUAUGACAGUGUGCGAGUGCCGGUACCAGCAAGGCCGGGUAAGUGAUGAAGUCCUUGGGGUUGUAAAGCUCAUUUACCCGAGAGGAUAAGGACAGUACCGGGAGAAUAAGCUCCGGCUAACUCCGU
This 432-nucleotide ribosomal RNA is filed under the name uncultured bacterium. Its description in RNAcentral is "partial 16S ribosomal RNA". It matches the Rfam family "Bacterial small subunit ribosomal RNA", at positions 29 to 506 of the family's 1533-position model. The record is from RNAcentral.